AACGCACGAGACCUGCGGACCUGCGGAAGGAUCAUUAAUGAGAAGCUGCCCCUCGUGGGUAGACCUCCCACCCUCUGUGAACUUACCUUUGUUGCUUUGGCAGGCCCGUCCUCUGGACCGCCGGCUUCGGCUGGCCCGUGCCUGCCAGAGGAUUCCGAACCCUGUCUGUCAGUGUUGUCUGAGUCUAUAUGAAAUCGUUAAAACUUUUAACAAUGGAUCUCUAGAUCGGAAGAGCACACG
RNAcentral lists this unclassified non-coding RNA (240 nucleotides) under soil metagenome. Its description in RNAcentral is "partial contains 5.8S ribosomal RNA, internal transcribed spacer 2, and large subunit ribosomal RNA". The record is from RNAcentral.